UACGUAGGGCGCAAGCGUUGUCCGGAAUUAUUGGGCGUAAAGAGCUCGUAGGCGGCCUGUUGCGUCCGCUGUGAAAUCCCGGGGCUUAACCCCGGGCUUGCAGUGGAUACGGGCAGACUGGAGGUAUGCAGGGGAGAACGGAAUUCCUGGUGUAGCGGUGAAAUGCGCAGAUAUCAGGAGGAACACCGGUGGCGAAGGCGGUUCUCUGGGCAUAUCCUGACGCUGAGGAGCGAAAGUGUGGGGAGCGAACAGG
Molecule: ribosomal RNA, 253 nt
Filed under: uncultured bacterium
Lineage: Bacteria
Description: partial 16S ribosomal RNA
Rfam family: Bacterial small subunit ribosomal RNA
Source: RNAcentral